Molecule: long non-coding RNA, 340 nt
Filed under: Homo sapiens (human)
Lineage: Eukaryota; Metazoa; Chordata; Mammalia; Primates; Hominidae
Description: non-protein coding LINC01030:6
Source: RNAcentral
ACGGAAUAUGUGCAGAAGUGAUGUAUAUGACCUCAGAGCCCAGCCUCUAAAUAUCCUGUGUCAUGCUCCACAUUCUGUCCAUUCAUCUCUCAGUUAACUAAAUAGAAGUGAUGCAAGGGAGGACUCCAAGGAAGCCCUAGGGAUCAUGAAGCUACAGAAUGGGAGAAUUGCUGUCACCACAGUUCUGGAAGAAGAAUUGUUCAGGAGAACAGCCAUUGGACUAUGGCAUGCCAAAGAAAUCUCUGUUGUGAAACCACAAUUAAAAGUUGUUCUUCCUGCCUCUGCUUCUUGACCAACCCCUGAGUGGCCCUGUAUAGUGUUCUCCCUAGGAAACUGUGAG